RNAcentral lists this ribosomal RNA (254 nucleotides) under uncultured bacterium. Its description in RNAcentral is "partial 16S ribosomal RNA". It matches the Rfam family "Bacterial small subunit ribosomal RNA", at positions 524 to 776 of the family's 1533-position model. The record is from RNAcentral.
UACGUAGGUGGCAAGCGUUGUCCGGAAUUAUUGGGCGUAAAGCGCGCGCAGGCGGUCCUUUAAGUCUGAUGUGAAAGCCCACGGCUCAACCGUGGAGGGUCAUUGGAAACUGGGGGGACUUGAGUGCAGAAGAGAAGAGUGGAAUUCCACGUGUAGCGGUGAAAUGCGUAGAGAUGUGGAGGAACACCAGUGGCGAAGGCGACUCUUUGGUCUGUAACUGACGCUGAGGCGCGAAAGCGUGGGGAGCAAACAGG